RNAcentral lists this ribosomal RNA (2907 nucleotides) under Salmonella enterica subsp. enterica serovar Dublin. RNAcentral describes it as "bacterial LSU rRNA". It matches the Rfam family "Bacterial large subunit ribosomal RNA". The record is from RNAcentral. Lineage: Bacteria; Pseudomonadati; Pseudomonadota; Gammaproteobacteria; Enterobacterales; Enterobacteriaceae.
GGGUUGUGAGGUUAAGCGACUAAGCGUACACGGUGGAUGCCCUGGCAGUCAGAGGCGAUGAAGGGCGUGCUAAUCUGCGAUAAGCGCCGGUAAGGUGAUAUGAACCGUUAUAACCGGCGAUACCCGAAUGGGGAAACCCAGUGUGAUUCGUCACACUAUCAUUAACUGAAUCCAUAGGUUAAUGAGGCGAACCGGGGGAACUGAAACAUCUAAGUACCCCGAGGAAAAGAAAUCAACCGAGAUUCCCCCAGUAGCGGCGAGCGAACGGGGAGGAGCCCAGAGCCUGAAUCAGCAUGUGUGUUAGUGGAAGCGUCUGGAAAGGCGCGCGAUACAGGGUGACAGCCCCGUACACAAAAGCGCAUGUGCUGUGAGCUCGAUGAGUAGGGCGGGACACGUGGUAUCCUGUCUGAAUAUGGGGGGACCAUCCUCCAAGGCUAAAUACUCCUGACUGACCGAUAGUGAACCAGUACCGUGAGGGAAAGGCGAAAAGAACCCCGGCGAGGGGAGUGAAAAAGAACCUGAAACCGUGUACGUACAAGCAGUGGGAGCNNGUGACUGCGUACCUUUUGUAUAAUGGGUCAGCGACUUAUAUUCUGUAGCAAGGUUAACCGAAUAGGGGAGCCGGAGGGAAACCGAGUCUUAAUUGGGCGUUAAGUUGCAGGGUAUAGACCCGAAACCCGGUGAUCUAGCCAUGGGCAGGUUGAAGGUUGGGUAACACUAACUGGAGGACCGAACCGACUAAUGUUGAAAAAUUAGCGGAUGACCUGUGGCUGGGGGUGAAAGGCCAAUCAAACCGGGAGAUAGCUGGUUCUCCCCGAAAGCUAUUUAGGUAGCGCCUCGUGAAUUCAUCUCCGGGGGUAGAGCACUGUUUCGGCUAGGGGGCCAUCCCGGCUUACCAACCCGAUGCAAACUGCGAAUACCGGAGAAUGUUAUCACGGGAGACACACGGCGGGUGCUAACGUCCGUCGUGAAGAGGGAAACAACCCAGACCGCCAGCUAAGGUCCCAAAGUCAUGGUUAAGUGGGAAACGAUGUGGGAAGGCCCAGACAGCCAGGAUGUUGGCUUAGAAGCAGCCAUCAUUUAAAGAAAGCGUAAUAGCUCACUGGUCGAGUCGGCCUGCGCGGAAGAUGUAACGGGGCUAAACCAUGCACCGAAGCUGCGGCAGCGANNGUUGGGUAGGGGAGCGUUCUGUAAGCCUGUGAAGGUGUGUCGUGAGGCAUGCUGGAGGUAUCAGAAGUGCGAAUGCUGACAUAAGUAACGAUAAAGCGGGUGAAAAGCCCGCUCGCCGGAAGACCAAGGGUUCCUGUCCAACGUUAAUCGGGGCAGGGUGAGUCGACCCCUAAGGCGAGGCCGAAAGGCGUAGUCGAUGGGAAACGGGUUAAUAUUCCCGUACUUGGUGUUACUGCGAAGGGGGGACGGAGAAGGCUAUGUUGGCCGGGCGACGGUUGUCCCGGUUUAAGCGUGUAGGUGUGUGUUCCAGGUAAAUCCGGUUCACUUUAACACUGAGGCGUGAUGACGAGGCACUACGGUGCUGAAGUAACAAAUGCCCUGCUUCCAGGAAAAGCCUCUAAGCAUCAGGUAACAUCAAAUCGUACCCCAAACCGACACAGGUGGUCAGGUAGAGAAUACCAAGGCGCUUGAGAGAACUCGGGUGAAGGAACUAGGCAAAAUGGUGCCGUAACUUCGGGAGAAGGCACGCUGACACGUAGGUGAAGUGAUUUACUCAUGGAGCUGAAGUCAGUCGAAGAUACCAGCUGGCUGCAACUGUUUAUUAAAAACACAGCACUGUGCAAACACGAAAGUGGACGUAUACGGUGUGACGCCUGCCCGGUGCCGGAAGGUUAAUUGAUGGGGUCAGCGCAAGCGAAGCUCCUGAUCGAAGCCCCGGUAAACGGCGGCCGUAACUAUAACGGUCCUAAGGUAGCGAAAUUCCUUGUCGGGUAAGUUCCGACCUGCACGAAUGGCGUAAUGAUGGCCAGGCUGUCUCCACCCGAGACUCAGUGAAAUUGAACUCGCUGUGAAGAUGCAGUGUACCCGCGGCAAGACGGAAAGACCCCGUGAACCUUUACUAUAGCUUGACACUGAACAUUGAGCCUUGAUGUGUAGGAUAGGUGGGAGGCUUUGAAGUGUGGACGCCAGUCUGCAUGGAGCCGACCUUGAAAUACCACCCUUUAAUGUUUGAUGUUCUAACGUGGACCCGUUACCCGGGUUGCGGACAGUGUCUGGUGGGUAGUUUGACUGGGGCGGUCUCCUCCUAAAGAGUAACGGAGGAGCACGAAGGUUGGCUAAUCCUGGUCGGACAUCAGGAGGUUAGUGCAAUGGCAUAAGCCAGCUUGACUGCGAGCGUGACGGCGCGAGCAGGUGCGAAAGCAGGUCAUAGUGAUCCGGUGGUUCUGAAUGGAAGGGCCAUCGCUCAACGGAUAAAAGGUACUCCGGGGAUAACAGGCUGAUACCGCCCAAGAGUUCAUAUCGACGGCGGUGUUUGGCACCUCGAUGUCGGCUCAUCACAUCCUGGGGCUGAAGUAGGUCCCAAGGGUAUGGCUGUUCGCCAUUUAAAGUGGUACGCGAGCUGGGUUUAGAACGUCGUGAGACAGUUCGGUCCCUAUCUGCCGUGGGCGCUGGAGAACUGAGGGGGGCUGCUCCUAGUACGAGAGGACCGGAGUGGACGCAUCACUGGUGUUCGGGUUGUCAUGCCAAUGGCACUGCCCGGUAGCUAAAUGCGGAAGAGAUAAGUGCUGAAAGCAUCUAAGCACGAAACUUGCCCCGAGAUGAGUUCUCCCUGAGACUUAAAGUCUCCUGAAGGAACGUUGAAGACGACGACGUUGAUAGGCCGGGUGUGUAAGCGCAGCGAUGCGUUGAGCUAACCGGUACUAAUGAACCGUGAGGCUUAACCCUACAACGCCGAAG